GGUUAGAGUUACUUGUGAAUUGGUAAAAAGCCACUAUGGAGACUAAGGACCAGAAGAAACACAGAAAGAAAAACAGUGGGCCCAAAGCUGAGAAGAAGAAGAAACGGCAUCUGCAGGAUCUCCAAAUUGGAGAUGAGGAAGAUGCCCGGAAGAGAAACCCCAAAGCCUUUGCAGUACAGUCUGCUGUGCGGAUGGCUCGAUCCUUUCACAGGUAUGUUUAGCUGGGGUCUAGCUGUUUUUCCAUUUAUCCUUUUUAUUCUUAUUUAUUUUUAAGGUUUUAUUUAUUUAUAUUGAGAGAGACAGAGACAGCACAAGUGAGGGAGGGGCAGAGAGAGAGAGAGGAGAGAGAGAGAGAGAGAGAAUCCCAAGCUGGCCCCACCCUGCCAGGGCAGAGCCUGAUGUGGGGCUCGAACCCACAAAGCUGUGAGAUCAUGACCUGAGCCGAAACCAAGAGUCGGACACUUAACCGACUGAGCCACCAAGGCGCCUCCCCAGAUGAUGCUUGGAUUCCUGAGUCUGUAACAACUUUGAAGGACAUGAAGAUACAUGCGAUAUUCCUUUUACUAAAAUGGGAACAUGUAGUCUUCCCUGUGGAAGGCACUUUGCCUCCAGUAUCAGCCUGUUGAUUGGCUUUUUUUUGCCCAAGAGAAAAGCUUCUGAGUUUUUCUUUAUAGAAUUUGUUUGUUCUGUAGUAAUAGGUGUGCUUGUUUUUUUUCUGAAUUUGUUUCAUAUAACUCAUAGUAAUAAGUAGCUUUAUUUAAUGAGUCCUUAUUUAUAUGCGAGGCGGUGUACUUUAAACAUUGCUGAAUUAAAUUCUCCUUAUAGGAGAGCCAAAUUUAACUUGAAAGCCUCUGCUGCUAUUCAUUGUGAUCUUCUGCCUGCAUGUUUACCUUUUUUUUUUUUUAAACUAUUACAGUCAUCUAAUAAAACAAUUAGAUUUAAGUUGUGUGUAGUUUCCAGUACUUUGUAUUGUCGAAGUCAGUUUGUUACGUAUUUACUGNNNNNNNNNNNNNNNNNNNNNNNNNNNNNNNNNNNNNNNNNNNNNNGCCACCAAGGCGCCUCCCCAGAUGAUGCUUGGAUUCCUGAGUCUGUAACAACUUUGAAGGACAUGAAGAUACAUGCGAUAUUCCUUUUACUAAAAUGGGAACAUGUAGUCUUCCCUGUGGAAGGCACUUUGCCUCCAGUAUCAGCCUGUUGAUUGGCUUUUUUUUGCCCAAGAGAAAAGCUUCUGAGUUUUUCUUUAUAGAAUUUGUUUGUUCUGUAGUAAUAGGUGUGCUUGUUUUUUUUCUGAAUUUGUUUCAUAUAACUCAUAGUAAUAAGUAGCUUUAUUUAAUGAGUCCUUAUUUAUAUGCGAGGCGGUGUACUUUAAACAUUGCUGAAUUAAAUUCUCCUUAUAGGAGAGCCAAAUUUAACUUGAAAGCCUCUGCUGCUAUUCAUUGUGAUCUUCUGCCUGCAUGUUUACCUUUUUUUUUUAAACUAUUACAGUCAUCUAAUAAAACAAUUAGAUUUAAGUUGUGUGUAGUUUUCAGUACUUUGUAUUGUCGAAGUCAGUUUGUUACGUAUUUACUGAAGGGGUCAUUUGGAUUGGGCCUAGAAGUUAACCAAUUAGUUGUAUCCAUGUUGUCUGUUCGGCUGUCUUUUUAAAAAUCUUUAUUUAUAAGGAUGAUGUCCUUCAUAUUUUGAAAGUGGAUUUACUUUUUUUUUUUCUUGUUACAAAUAGGACUCAGGAUUUGAAGACCAAAAAGCAUCACAUUCCAGUGGUUGAUCGAACUCCAUUAGAGCCCCCACCAAUAGUGGUAGUGGUGAUGGGGCCUCCAAAAGUUGGAAAGAGCACUUUGAUCCAGUGCCUAAUUCGGAACUUCACUAGGCAGAAACUGACAGAGAUCAGAGGCCCUGUUACAAUCGUGUCAGGUAGGAGCAUGCUACCCCAGGCUGAUAUGGCAUAUGUUGUCUGAGGGACAGGCUUGGCUUUGUUGAACAUUUCUAAAUGUUAAAGUAAUAUUGUCACUUCAUAUUACUUCUCUUGUGCUGAGUUGACUGUAGCUUCAGAAAAGGAUAGAUUCCCAAAAAUAAUAAUGAUGUAGAUGUAUACCCUAUUCUCACUGCUACAUGGAUUUGCUAUCUAUGAAAGGUUUGGCAGGCCUGGGCACCCUGGGUUGGUCCUGGUGACCACCUUCUUUUAACAGGGAGUGAGUAUCUCUAGUAUGUCAGGCAUACCUGCUCGCCCUCAUAAAGCCACAUUGUUAGGGAAGUGAGGGAGUUUUCCUCUCUUUUUCUGUGAGAAUCUGCCUGCUCUGGGAGAUGGUGACAUUUCUGUUUGAGGGAAAGUGAAACAAAUUCCCAAUAUGUCAAUGGAAGAAUCUAAGAUUUCUUUGUUGUUGGUGGUGUUGGUGUUUUAAAGAUUUUAUUUUUAAGUAAUCUCUUUACCCAACAUGGGGCUCAAACUCACAACCCUGAGAUCAAAAGUCACACACUCCACCUACUGAGCCAGCUAGGUGCUUCUGAAAUUCUUACUGUAGCAGUAAGGUAGUUGGAUUGAGACUUUUCUUUAUCUUAAAGGCAUGUCUAUCAUUUUAACUGAUUUUGUUUUCUUUCUUUCUGUUUUUUUGUUUUGUUUUGUUUUGUUUUGUUUUAAGUAAACUCUACCCCCAUUGUGGGGCUUGAACUCAUGACUCUGAGAUCAAGAGUUGCAUGCUCUGGCUAAAUCAGCCAGGUGCCCCAUUUUUUUCUUUUUUUUUUUAAUUUUUUUUCUUUUUGAGAGAGAAGGAGGGCACAAGUGAGUGAGGUGCAGAGAGAGAGAGAGAGAGAGGCAGGGGGAGAGAAUCCCACAAGGGAUAGUGAGAGAGAGGAGCAGGGCUCACCCAGAGUGGGGCUCAUGUUCACUAGAAGUGGGGUUCGAGCUCACCUGAAGCAAGGCUCAAACUCACCUGAAGCUGGGCUUGUGCUCAUCUGAUGUGGGGCUCGUGCUCACCUACAGCAGGGCUUGAACUCACAAACUGUGAGGUCAUGACCUGAGCUGAAAUCAGAUGCUUCAUAAUUGAGCCACCCAGACACCCUAAUUUUUUUUUAAGUAAUCUCUAACUCCAACUUGGGGCUCAAACUCCUGACUCCGAGAUCAAGAGUAGCAGACUGAUUUCUUUUAAUUUAGAAAUAACGAUUGUUCCAUGAAGAUUCUGUUACAUUAGGCUUGAGGAUGUUUUUAGCUAUAGUGAGAACAUGGGAAACUUUGAUAAAGAACGAAAUGUUGGCCUGCUGCUGAACAGCAGGAUCACGGUCAGCAUGAAGCUUUCUUGUCUGUCCAUUCCAGUCAGAAUUUUCCCUAUUUGAGCACUUUAUUCUUGUACAUAGACUUUUGGUAUUAUUUAUAAUUAAAGAAUAUAGAUAGCAAGAAAACGAAGGUGGAAUUUAUUAGUUUUCUCUCAUAAAAUUGAACUUCUGGCAUACUUUCUGUAAGUGUGUAUGGUACUUUAUUGGAUACAAUUUAAAAUAGUAAUUAGCGUUAAUAGCUACAUUUUUCCAAGAUUUUUUUAGAAGGAAACUUUUUGUCUUUUAUAGGUAAAAAGCGCAGACUUACCAUCAUUGAAUGUGGGUGUGACAUUAAUAUGAUGAUUGAUCUGGCUAAAGUGGCAGAUUUGGUAAGUCAGUAGGGACAGUCUGAAUUUCUGAGGAGGACUUAACAGCAGUGUGGUAGAUUAUUUUAUAUCUUAUGUUGAAGGAAAGAAAGGCUUAUGAUUAUUAAAGGAAUGAUGAGUCUAAUCAGGGAUACCAUAGAUGUGUUUGAAUUGAUGAUGAUGAUAUUGUUACAAUAAAAAUGGAAUAUGCACAUUGAAAUGUAUUCUCAAAUCUAAAAGAAAAUUACAGAGAAAACAGUUAAUGAUCAUUGCUAAUUAAGAUAUACAGAUAGACAUACUGGCAUACAAAUAUAUAAUAGUAAAUACUAUUUCUUGGACUCUUAUGAGGCACUGUGCUAACACCUUUCUGGAAAUUUAGUUCAUCUAAUCCCCCAGUAUGCCCUAGAGGUAAGUAGGUAUUUUCUCUAGUUUACAUAGGAUGAAAUGGAGGUCCUAGAAGUUAAGUAGUUUGUCUGAGGAUGGGGACUCUGUUCUUGAUGGUGCCAGAACCUUUGUUCUUUUUUCUCUUUAGUUUUUUUUUUUAAUUUAUUUAUUUAUUUUGAGAGAGAGAGAGAGCGCGCACGCACAAGUGAGUUGGGAGUGGGGCAGAGAGAGAGGGAGAGAGAGAAUCCUAAGCAGGCUUUGCACUGUCAGCACAGAGCCCGACACAGGGCUCGAAACCACAAACCAUGAGAUCAUGACCUGAGCUGAAAUCAAGAGUCAGAUGCUUAAUUGACUGAGCCACCCAGGUGCCCCCAGAACCUCCAUUCUUAAUGAUUAUGACAAAAUAAGUACAUGAGUUGCCUUGGAGAAGUUGUCAGAAUUUAUGAUAAAAAACCUAGAUAGUAUGCAGCAUAUGGAAAUUGUGUAGUUUUGAUUGCAUUUAAUGGUAAUGUUCAUUAAGUUCUUUUUUCUUUGAAGUUUAUUUAUUUAUUUUGAGAGAGAGAGAGCAAGCAUGAUCAGGGGAGGGGCAAAGAGAGAUGGAGAGAGAGAAUCCUAAGCAGGCUCUGAGCUGUGAGCACAGAGCCUGAUGCAGGGCUUAAACCCGUGAACCGUGAGAUCAUGACCUGAGCUGAAAUCAAGAGUCAGACGCUUAAUUGACUCAGCCACCCAGGUGCCCCCAGAACUUCCAUUCUUAAUGAUUGUGACAAAAUAAGUACAUGAGUUGCCUUUGAGAAGUUGUCAGAAUUUAUAAUAAAAAAUCUAGAUAGUAUGCAGCAUAUGGAAAUUGUGUAGCUUUGAUUACAUUUAGUGGUAAUGUUCAUUAACUUUUUUUUUNNNNNNNNNNNNNNNNNNNNNNNNNNNNNNNNNNNNNNNNNNNNNNNNNNNNNNNNNNNNNNNNNNNNNNNNNNNNNNNNNNNNNNNNNNNNNNNNNCAGGGAGAGAGAGAGAGAGAGAGAGAGAGAGAGAGAAUCCCAAGCAGGCUCCGAGCUGUCAGCGCAGAGCCCGAUGCAGGGCUUGAACCCACGAACCGUGAAAUCACGACUUGAGCUGAAAUCCAGAGUUGGACGCUCAACCAAGUGUUCCUAGUUACAUUUUAAAUUAACAAAAAUAAAUCCAAUUAAAAAAAACGUAAGGCCGUAUUGAUUAGGAAGAUUGGAGUAACAGAGGCCUCUUUUUGUUUGUUUUUGGUUCAACAAUUUCUGGAAAGCUGCUUGGUGACCAAGAGCUACAGAUUUUAUCCUGUGGCCUAGGAAGUCUUCUAAAAUAGAAAAUAAAAAGUAAUUUAAUGUGAAUGUUAUAGCUGUGCCAUUAUAAUAUCAGAAAACUAGGGGCGCCUGGGUGGCGCAGUUGGUUAAGCGUCCGACUUCAGCCAGGUCACGAUCUCGCGGUCCGCGAGUUCGAGCCCCGCGUCGGGCUCUGGGCUGAUGGCUCAGAGCCUGGAGCCUGUUUCCGAUUCUGUGUCUCCCUCUCUCUCUGCCCCUCCCCCGUUCAUGCUCUGUCUCUCUUUGUCCCAAAAAUAAAUAAACUUUGAAAAAAAAAAAUAAUAUCAGAAAACUAAAUACCAUUCAAAUUUUGAAUGCUACUAUUAAUAUAAUGCUACUAUUAAUAAAAAUAAGUGUUAUUGUCGGUAAAAAAUAGUAUAAACAUAUUAAAUCUUGUGUUUUUGAAAUGAUUAAAGUAGAUUCGCGUAUAAGUCAUUGUUUUUUGUUUGUUUUUUUUCUAUUGGUUUGUUUUUCGUGUAAAAUAUACCAAAUCCCUAAGUACAAAAAGCAUACACAUAUUAAGAAAGAUAUUUUUCAUAUACAUCUUUUUUUAAGAUUUAGGAACCCAUGUAUUUGGUAAAUAUUCAAACUAUACUACAGGGUACAAUGCGUGUUUUUCCUGCUCUGACCCCUGGUCUCUCAGUUUCCCUCAAAGCAGUAUUCUUCUAGAUAUGUAUGGAAAUAUACAUGCAACCCUUUUAAAGCACACACUGUUUAUUAUAUACACUGUUCUGUACUUUGCUUUUUUUCAUUUAAUGUGUCUUAAAGGUAUGUAAGUACUAUAGCUCAACUUCAUUCUUUUUAAGUAUUUCGUUGUAUGUACCAUAAUUUAUUUAACUUGUCUUAUGUUGAUCGCUCUGCUCUGGGUUGUCUGUCAUAAAGCCUCCUAAGUCCCAGCAAAGACACAUACAGUACAUGGAUUUAUGUAUAUGUGCACGUGUGUGCAUUGAAGGAAUAAUACAGGCUUCAUUUAUCUUUAGUUGACAAGAUUGUCCGCUAAAGGACUGUUUGCUACCUAUUCUUGUGAUUCGACAUCGAACCACUUGCCCCUUGGCAUGCUAUGGUGUCAGAUGGGGUGUGGUGAUACUCUACUGCAAGCUCACUCACCUUCAGCCUGGUCCAGUGGCGAGGAAGAACUGUGCCAGCUUGGCCUGCGGUCUGCAGUGGCGGCUGCAUUUUCUCGUAGUGCUUGGUGGCCCACCUUCAUGUAUUUUGUGCUUUAGGAUUAUGACUGUUCCUUAAUUUAACCAAAGAUAAGUUUUUCUGGUUUUGUGUGUGUGGUUUUUUGAAUUAGCUACAAAAAGGUGAGAACAGAGAUGUCUUUAAUAUGUUGUUAAAACUGGAAGUUUCUUACUUCUAGAAGAAUCAGCUCUGAAGUUAUUUUGCAUGUUUGAAGAAUCAAAAUUUUAUUAUUUUUUAAUGUAUAUUUGUUUUUAAGAGAGAGAGCCAGCAGGGGAGGGGCAGAGAGUAAGGGAGACAGAGAAUCCCAAGCAGGCUCCACACUGCCAGUACAGAGCCCAACAUGGGGCUCGAACUCACAAACUGUAAGAUCAUGCCCUGAGCCAAAAUCAAGAGUCAGGUACUUAACUGACUGAGCCACCCAGAUGCCCCAGAAGAGUCAAAAUUUUAAAGAUUGUCUUAUAUGCUUCUAUUUUCUUAGCAUUCAUAACUUUACUAUUUUUGGAUUAAUUCUAAACUGGAAGCUUUUUUUAGUGUCUGAGCAAUUGCAUGUUACAAAUUAACAUAGAAGAGUUUUCCUACGGUAUAUCUCCCAGCAACUUUUUUUUUCCUCUGUUAGAAGACUGAAACAAAAAUGUUUGAUUUUCUUAUAUUUUUGCUAUUUUUCAUUGAUUACCACUUUGUCCCAUUUUCUGGAUGUCAGAGAUCUGUUAUUUGGUUUUCCUGUUAGAGACCUGUUAUUUGGCUUAAAAAUACCUUACACAAAACUUUAUUUCUUGAAGUGAGGAAUUUUCCAGGUGAGGGGCAAGUUAGACGUAGCUUUUUGUGAGUUAUUUCUAAUAUAUCCAAAUUCUUGAAGUGGAAAUUUAUAUUGUGGUGGUUAUUGCCUCAUGGUUGCCUUUUGGGGAAUGUCAGAGGGUAGUAUUUUCUCUGUCAUGAUGAUUCCUAAGUAAUGCUUUGAUUUAGUCUAGAAUAGGAGUUGGCAAACUUUCUGUAAAGGGCCAGAUGGUAAAUAUCUUAAGCUUUGCGGGUCAUACUUUCUCUUACAACUACUUACUUUGUAGUUGGAGUGCAGACACAGGUGUAGACAAUACAUAAAUACAUUAAUGUGGCUGUGUUCCAAUAAAACUUUAGUUAUAAAAUAGGUCAUGGCUCAGAUUUUGUCCAGGGACCAUAGUUUGCUUAUGGUCUGUUUUGGGUAGUUUCCUUGAGUAAUUGUGUUUUCUGUUUUUAGGUUCUGAUGCUUAUAGAUGCCAGCUUUGGUUUUGAAAUGGAAACAUUUGAGUUUCUAAACAUCUGUCAAGUACAUGGCUUUCCUAAAAUUAUGGGCGUUCUCACUCACUUAGAUUCCUUUAAGUAUAAUAAACAACUGAAGAAGACAAAGAAGCGAUUAAAACACCGGUUCUGGACAGAAGUUUACCCGGUAGGAAGAGAAUUAGGUUUUGAAUACUAACACUAUAAUCUUAAAAAAAAAAAAUAGGAGGAGUAGGAGAGCUUAACAAACAUCCCUUCAGGAUUCACCUUUGGAAUUUCCUUUAUAUAUCUCUUCUUAUAUAUCAAUUUUUUCUCAAAAUAGUCUGUAUUUCAGAUCUUUUGGUGUAUCUCUUUUACUCUGUAGCCCCCCAGCACCAGGCAGUAUCUGGCUCUAAGUAUUUUACAUUUGUGAUUGUUUAAAAGAGUUUGUCAGAAGUUUCUCGUAAUUAUAGGACCAGCAACUACAGUGCAUACAUAUCGCCACUCCACCCUCCCCUGCAUACUGCUGUGGCUCAGUGUCAUAGAAUUUUUCAUGUGUCUAGGAGCCUCACUGCCCUAUCCAUGCAAUACUCCAGACACCACUACUUGGCUGGAGAGCAGUCUUGAAGCUAAAUGUAUUUGCAGUUCUGACUGUACUAAGCCUUAACAAGAUGAGUCCUGAAAGAGGCGGAGAAGUUCAGGAAACAUUGAGAAGUGGCAUGCCAGAAGUCUCCCUUAGGAUUGUGUCUUAUUUACACAUCUUUAUUUUGAUGUAGUAUUGACAAGAAUUUAAUUGAAAUUUAAUUUUUUGCUUUUUUAAUGUUUAGGGUGCUAAGCUGUUCUACCUUUCUGGAAUGGUACAUGGAGAAUAUCAAAACCAAGAAAUUCACAAUCUGGGCCGUUUUAUUACAGUUAUGAAGUUUAGGCCUCUUACGUGGCAGACCUCUCAUCCCUAUAUCUUGGCAGACAGGUAAAAACUGCAUGUGAAGUUUUUCUUCCUGGCCCAUAUAUUUCAAAGCUACAAAGGUUAGAAAAAGAGCAGUAAUAGAGCUUACUUUGUGCUUAUUUUUUAAUAGUAAGGGGGCAUUGUAGUUGGUGGAAGAGAUCUACUUCUUUGUAUCAUUACCUAAAAAGUGCUGUGGCUUCAGGAGUAAAGUAUGAAACAUUUAGAAAAAUGUGAGGAUUUUGGAGCAUUUAAGGCUAUAAGAUGUGGUCCUAUCCUGCUUUUUGAACCUUAAUUUUCAGUGAUAACUGUCUUUGAAUCAUUGUGCUCCAGUCACCCAGAUGUGUCCUGUGCUUUCUUUCCUUUAUGCCUUUUUUCAAAUUGUCUUCUCAGCCUGGAAUCCCUUUUCUCUUCUUGCCAGAAUUCAAGGCACACCAAAAAACUCAGGUUAAAGCUUCAUCUUCUUCCAUGAAGGGGUUUUCUGGCUAUGUUCUAAUCUCUUCUUGACCCCUGUUGCACAUUAUUUCCCAUUUCUGGUGUCUUAUUCACAGAACAUAUAUCACAUAAAGCCUAAGAGCAAUACAAUCAUUUGUUUGCUUCUUUUCCUCUGGUAGAUGGUGAACUGUGCUUCAUUUUUUCUGUAUUUUCUAUAAUUUUCUAAACAAUAUGUUUAGUGAACUAGUGAAUUUGAGCCAUCUUUGACAUGUGAAGGGAGGUACAAGAACUUUGACAUUUAUUUCUGCUAUAUGAUUGGUUUUUACUUUUCUAGGAUGGAAGAUUUGACAAACCCAGAAGAUAUUCGAAAAAAUAUCAAGUGUGACCGAAAAGUAUCUCUUUAUGGUUAUUUAAGAGGAGCACACUUGAAAAGUAAAAGCCAAAUUCACAUGCCAGGUAUCGUUUUGUUAUAAAAUAUACCUUAUUUGUAGAACCAUUAGGAUGGCUUGCUUCAUUUCUCAGGAAAGCUGAAAAAUGGCCAAGCAAGAUAGAGCUACAUUGCUAGAAGUUUUAAGACUAACCCGACUCUGCCUCAGCUCUCAAAGGUGUUGAGUUGACCAAAUCCCUCUGCUCUGAUGGUGUCAGCUAGCUAGAGAGGCACAGGACCAGUGUCAGAUGAUACCCUUGUGGUUGAAGCCUUCCACCUGUGGGCCAUUUUUGCCAACAGUUGAUACGCCUAUAGCUGAAGCCAUCUUUCUGUGUCUGUCUUCCAGGUGUAGGAGAUUUUGCUGUGAGUGAUGUCAGUUUCCUCCCAGACCCCUGUGCGCUUCCUGAACAACAAAAGAAGCGCUGUUUAAAUGAGAAAGAGAAGUUGGUUUAUGCGCCGCUGUCUGGAGUUGGUGGUGUGCUGUAUGACAAAGAUGCGGUCUAUGUUGAUCUUGGUGGCAGCCAUGGCUUCCAGGAAUCGGUGAGAGGAAAGUCACAGGAAGUGAUGUAGUCAGCUUUUACAUACUGAAGCUUUUUUAUGUCUAUUUGUAAUUAUAGUAAAAACCACAAUGCGUAUUGUAAAUAUACAGAUGAUGUAGUUUUACCAAGGAGAAACUAAAAGUCAUGUCCUCCAUUCUGUUGCCAGUACACACAGGGGAUCCUAGGUCUUCUAGUGUGAACAUUGCAUGCGGUUUGUACUUGUACUUCCUGUCUCUCUCUAUACAAGCAUACCUCAUUUUAUUGUGCUUUGCUUUAUUGCAUUUUGCCAAAAAUUUGCCUUUUUUACAAAUUGAAGGUUUGUGGCAACCCUGUUUCGAACAACUCUGUUGGUGCCAUUCUUUCCAACAGCAUUUGCUCACUUUAUGUCUCUGUGUCACAUUAUGGCAAUUCUAACGAUUGUUUUCAUUAUUAUGUUUGUUACAGUGAUCUGUGAUAAGUGAUUAUCGCUUACUGAAAGGUCAAAUAAUGAUUAGCGUUUUUUAGCAAUAAAGUAUUUUUAAUUAAAGUAUGCACAUUGCUUUUUUAGACAUAAUACUAUUGCACACUUAAUAGACUACAGUAUAGUAUAAACAUUAACUCUUAUAUGCACUGGAAAACCAAAAAAUUCAUUUGACUCAUUUUAUUGUGGUAGUUUAGAACUGUACCCACAGUAUCUCUGGAGUAUGCCUGCACAAUAUCAGUAUGUUUUUUAGCUCUCUUUGGUCUUUCUCUUUUUUUAUUUUUCUCUCUAAACAUAUAUUUAUUUAUCUAGAUUAUAUUAUGUAUAUUUAGAUUAUUACAUGUCAGUACCAUGUAUUUGUGUACAUAUAUGGUCUUUAUGUGUAGGGGUGUCUGUGAGACAGAGAGAAGUAAUAUUAUAUGGGCUUCAACUUUAAAUGCUUUUGCAGCUUUAGGGGGGCACCAAAGAAUAUGUGAUUCCAUUGUUCCCUGUUAGUAUUUGUAGAGCUGCUUUGGUCUUUUUUUAGAGCUGUGUGAUAUUUUGCUGUAUGGAUAAACCUUGUUUAUUGAACCAACCCUUGGCAGUCUGUGGCAGGGGCGCGGGGGGCUACCCCUAGAUUCCCUUGGUUUGAACAUUGCCUCACUUAGUACCCUCGAUUAUGCAGUUUUGCUUAUUGGGAGGGAUCUUUUUAUGCAGUAAAUUCCUUGAGAUGAAAAUUUUGGAUCAAAAGACAGAAUUUUUUUUAAUGGACUCCAGAUUUUCAUUUCUUUAUUCUGCAGAGGGGUUUUAUUGGGCCAGAAUAAAUAUUUUCUGUAGCAUUGGCACUUACGGUUUGUGUAGCUAAGUAUUUAGGUUAUCAGGUUGUAUACUCCAUGAACUGGGAAAGGUUUAAUGAAGACAGAGGUCAAUUUUAGACUUGGUUAUAAGAAUUUUCUUUAUUUUUUAUCUUUUUAUUUGUUUUUGAGGCAGUAAGAAAUGAUUUUAGGAACUAUGUUCAGGAUAAUUUUGAGAAACUGAUUGAAACCAGUGUGUCUCUCUUCAGAAUCCUUGUGUAUUCCUCACUUUCCCUUUCUUGGUGGCCUUGACAGGAUGAGGUGAGGCCCACCCAUGAACUGGUACAGAGCCUCAUUUCCACCCAUUCCACUAUUGAUGCCAAGAUGGCUUCAAGUAGAGUGACACUUUUUUCUGAUUCUAAACCACUGGGAUCUGA
RNAcentral lists this long non-coding RNA (11742 nucleotides) under Lynx pardinus (Iberian lynx). The record is from RNAcentral. Lineage: Eukaryota; Metazoa; Chordata; Mammalia; Carnivora; Felidae.